This 939-nucleotide ribosomal RNA is filed under the name uncultured bacterium. Its description in RNAcentral is "bacterial SSU rRNA". It matches the Rfam family "Bacterial small subunit ribosomal RNA", at positions 53 to 984 of the family's 1533-position model. The record is from RNAcentral.
ACAUGCAAGUCGAGGGGCAGCAUGAUUGAAGCUUGCUUCAAUUGAUGGCGACCGGCGCACGGGUGAGUAACGCGUAUCCAACCUUCCGUACACUCAGGGAUAGCCUUUCGAAAGAAAGAUUAAUACCCGAUGGUAUGAUGAGAUUGCAUGAUAGCAUCAUUAAAGAUUCAUCGGUGUACGAUGGGGAUGCGUUCCAUUAGGUAGUAGGCGGGGUAACGGCCCACCUAGCCUACGAUGGAUAGGGGUUCUGAGAGGAAGGUCCCCCACAUUGGAACUGAGACACGGUCCAAACUCCUACGGGAGGCAGCAGUGAGGAAUAUUGGUCAAUGGACGAGAGUCUGAACCAGCCAAGUAGCGUGAAGGAUGAAGGUCCUACGGAUUGUAAACUUCUUUUAUAAGGGAAUAAAACCUCCCACGUGUGGGAGCUUGUAUGUACCUUAUGAAUAAGCAUCGGCUAACUCCGUGCCAGCAGCCGCGGUAAUACGGAGGAUGCGAGCGUUAUCCGGAUUUAUUGGGUUUAAAGGGAGCGCAGACGGGUCGUUAAGUCAGCUGUGAAAGUUUGGGGCUCAACCUUAAAAUUGCAGUUGAUACUGGCGUCCUUGAGUGCGGUUGAGGUGUGCGGAAUUCGUGGUGUAGCGGUGAAAUGCUUAGAUAUCACGAAGAACUCCGAUUGCGAAGGCAGCACACUAAGCCGUAACUGACGUUCAUGCUCGAAAGUGUGGGUAUCAAACAGGAUUAGAUACCCUGGUAGUCCACACGGUAAACGAUGGAUACUCGCUGUUGGCGAUAUACAGUCAGCGGCUUAGCGAAAGCGUUAAGUAUCCCACCUGGGGAGUACGCCGGCAACGGUGAAACUCAAAGGAAUUGACGGGGGCCCGCACAAGCGGAGGAACAUGUGGUUUAAUUCGAUGAUACGCGAGGAACCUUACCCGGGCUUAA